This 398-nucleotide ribosomal RNA is filed under the name uncultured bacterium. RNAcentral's name for it is "partial 16S ribosomal RNA". It matches the Rfam family "Bacterial small subunit ribosomal RNA", at positions 338 to 733 of the family's 1533-position model. The record is from RNAcentral.
CCUACGGGUGGCAGCAGUGAGGAAUAUUGGUCAAUGGGCGGGAGUCUGAACCAGCCAAGUCGCGUGAGGGAUGAAGGCACUGUGUAUUGUAAACCUCUUUUGUCUGGGAAUAAAGUGUGGCACUAGUGGGCUGUUGUGUGUACCUUAUGAAUAAGGAUCGGCUAACUCCGUGCCAGCAGCCGCGGUAAUACGGAGGAUGCGAGCGUUAUCCGGAUUUAUUGGGUUUAAAGGGUGCGUAGGGGGACUGUUAAGUCAGUCGUGAAAGUUCGCGGCUCAACCGCGGCGGUGCAGUUGAAACUGGCAGUCUGGAGUACAGGAGAGGUGGGCGGAAUUCGCGGUGUAGCGGUGAAAUGCUUAGAUAUCGCGAAGAACUCCGAUUGCGAAGGCAGCGUACCGGA